This 16-nucleotide transfer RNA is filed under the name Homopholis walbergii. RNAcentral's name for it is "partial tRNA-Trp". Lineage: Eukaryota; Metazoa; Chordata; Lepidosauria; Squamata; Gekkonidae. The record is from RNAcentral.
AGACACUUAGGUUGAU